This 1130-nucleotide long non-coding RNA is filed under the name Corvus moneduloides (New Caledonian crow). RNAcentral's name for it is "lncRNA (ENSCMUG00000018785.1)". The record is from RNAcentral. Lineage: Eukaryota; Metazoa; Chordata; Aves; Passeriformes; Corvidae.
AUGGUUUCAGGUGCUCCAGAAGGCGGUAGAAACUUGACACUUCAUCUGGAUGUUACGGCAAGAUUGAGAAAGCAGAAGGUGCUCAGUUUUAUCAAAGGAGAGGACUUUUACCAGGUGUCAGAAGCCACAAUGUCGAGUAAAAGCUUCCAGGGACUUAAGGAACAAGCUGAAGGUGCAGCAAAAGAUGCUGCAAACACAUUGGAAAAGGCCACUCAGGAUGCAGUCAACCAGAUUACAGAUGCAAGCCAGAAAGCUUUUGACAAGGCUUCCAAGAGGGCACAAGAUGGAGUAGAAAAAGUGGCCGGACAAGCUGCAGAAGCAAUGUCUGGCUUCGGGAAAAAAUGUGAAUUUAAAAAAUGAUGCUAAUUUAAGUUGGCAGUACUGCUUGUAUAAACCUCUCUUUGGUCUGCAAUUCCCUACUUCUUUGUGUAGAAAAAUGAAAGCUGUUUGAUAUCUGGAUGAUUUCGUCCUCUUCAAAUACAAAUUUUUAAGGCAGAAGGUCCCCUCAUCCUUUACUUAGAAAAAAUAUCUUAUAGUAUAUCUGCUCACAAUCAUCAACAUGGCUCAAAAGGUUUCAGCAAUGCUGUUGCCCUGCUCUUACAACAGCUCAGUGAUUAUUGCCACAUUAGCUGAGUGUAUUUACAAAGCCAGUGAAACUGUUCAUAACUGGGACACCAGAACAUUCAUGUGAUGAAACUGAGUCAACUUCCAAAAGUUAAGCUGGGGUUGUAUUUCUUGUCAGUUGUUUGAUUUGUUCCCAUCCUCUGUAUUUUUAGAUUAAGAUAAAUAAAGGUACUGUAAGAUUUCCUCUACUCAGAUUGUCUCGUUGUUUAAUCUCAUUAUUUUACUGGAGCUUUCACUGAAGGAUCGCACAGUGUCUUGCUAAUCUCUUUUGCUCUCUGAUUCAAAGUCCAGUGAGGUCAGUGACAACCCUGUAAAGGAGAGGAGUACUGAACCCUUCUGCAGUCUGGCAGACGGAUGGAAACCAACAGCCCCGCACUGCAGACGAGCCCUGUGGUGUCUGUGAGUGAACGGAGUUUUGGUGUCCACCCCCUUCUCCUUUCUCCUACACGUCUGUUGCCCAUCUAAAUGUCUUGUUUCCAUUAUCCACAAUACACCUGUUAAAUCUG